GAUGAACGCUGGCGGCGUGCCUAACACAUGCAAGUCGAGCGGCAGCGAGGGGUGCUUGCACCCUGUCGGCGAGCGGCGGACGGCUGAGUAACGCGUGGGAACGUGCCCCAAAGUGAGGAAUAACUGCCCGAAAGGGGAGCUAAUACCGCAUAUUAUCUUCGGAUCAAAGGAUUUAUCCGCUUUGGGAGCGGCUCGCGUCGGAUUAGGUAGUUGGUGAGGUAAUGGCUCACCAAGCCGACGAUCCGUAGCUGGUCUGAGAGGAUGACCAGCCAGACUGGAACUGGGACACGGUCCAGACUCCUACGGGCGGCAGCAGUGAGGAAUCUGCCACAAUGGGCGAAAGCCUGAUGGAGCAACGCCGCGUGCAGGACGAAGGCCUUCGGGUUGUAAUCUGCUUUUAUAAGUGAGGAAUAUGACGGUAACUUAUGAAUAAAGAUCGGCUAACUACGU
RNAcentral lists this ribosomal RNA (450 nucleotides) under uncultured bacterium. RNAcentral's name for it is "partial 16S ribosomal RNA". It matches the Rfam family "Bacterial small subunit ribosomal RNA", at positions 28 to 506 of the family's 1533-position model. The record is from RNAcentral.